GCAGUCGAACGAUGAACCUCACUUGUGGGGGGAUUAGUGGCGAACGGGUGAGUAACACGUGAGUAACCUGCCCUUAACUCUGGGAUAAGCCUGGGAAACUGGGUCUAAUACCGGAUAUGACUCCUCAUCGCAUGGUGGGGGGUGGAAAGCUUUUUGUGGUUUUGGAUGGACUCGCGGCCUAUCAGCUUGUUGGUGAGGUAAUGGCUUACCAAGGCGACGACGGGUAGCCGGCCUGAGAGGGUGACCGGCCACACUGGGACUGAGACACGGCCCAGACUCCUACGGGAGGCAGCAGUGGGGAAUAUUGCACAAUGGGCGCAAGCCUGAUGCAGCGACGCCGCGUGAGGGAUGACGGCCUUCGGGUUGUAAACCUCUUUCAGUAGGGAAGAAGCGAAAGUGACGGUACCUGCAGAAGAAGCGCCGGCUAACUACGUGCCAGCAGCCGCGGUAAUACGUAGGGCGCAAGCGUUAUCCGGAAUUAUUGGGCGUAAAGAGCUCGUAGGCGGUUUGUCGCGUCUGCCGUGAAAGUCCGGGGCUCAACUCCGGAUCUGCGGUGGGUACGGGCAGACUAGAGUGAUGUAGGGGAGACUGGAAUUCCUGGUGUAGCGGUGAAAUGCGCAGAUAUCAGGAGGAACACCGAUGGCGAAGGCAGGUCUCUGGGCAUUAACUGACGCUGAGGAGCGAAAGCAUGGGGAGCGAACAGGAUUAGAUACCCUGGUAGUCCAUGCCGUAAACGUUGGGCACUAGGUGUGGGGGACAUUCCACGUUUUCCGCGCCGUAGCUAACGCAUUAAGUGCCCCGCCUGGGGAGUACGGCCGCAAGGCUAAACUCAAGGAAUUGACGGGGGCCCGCACAAGCGGCGGAGCAUGCGGAUUAAUUCGAUGCACGCGAAGAACCUUA
Molecule: ribosomal RNA, 900 nt
Filed under: Arthrobacter sp.
Lineage: Bacteria; Bacillati; Actinomycetota; Actinomycetes; Micrococcales; Micrococcaceae
Description: bacterial SSU rRNA
Rfam family: Bacterial small subunit ribosomal RNA
Source: RNAcentral